UACGUAGGGUGCAAGCGUUAAUCGGAAUUACUGGGCGUAAAGCGUGCGCAGGCGGCUUUGCAAGACAGAUGUGAAAUCCCCGGGCUUAACCUGGGAACUGCAUUUGUGACUGCAUGGCUGGAGUGCGGCAGAGGGGGAUGGAAUUCCGCGUGUAGCAGUGAAAUGCGUAGAUAUGCGGAGGAACACCGCUGGCGAAGGCAAUCCCCUGGGCCUGCACUGACGCUCAUGCACGAAAGCGUGGGGAGCAAACAGG
Molecule: ribosomal RNA, 253 nt
Filed under: uncultured bacterium
Lineage: Bacteria
Description: partial 16S ribosomal RNA
Rfam family: Bacterial small subunit ribosomal RNA
Source: RNAcentral